RNAcentral lists this transfer RNA (74 nucleotides) under Alligator mississippiensis (American alligator). Its description in RNAcentral is "tRNA-Thr (AGT) (tRNA-Thr-AGT-20-1)". It matches the Rfam family "tRNA". Rfam says of the family: Transfer RNA (tRNA) molecules are approximately 80 nucleotides in length. Their secondary structure includes four short double-helical elements and three loops (D, anti-codon, and T loops). Further hydrogen bonds mediate the characteristic L-shaped molecular structure. tRNAs have two regions of fundamental functional importance: the anti-codon, which is responsible for specific mRNA codon recognition, and the 3' end, to which the tRNAs corresponding amino acid is attached (by aminoacyl-tRNA synthetases). tRNAs cope with the degeneracy of the genetic code in two manners: having more than one tRNA (with a specific anti-codon) for a particular amino acid; and 'wobble' base-pairing, i.e. permitting non-standard base-pairing at the 3rd anti-codon position. Lineage: Eukaryota; Metazoa; Chordata; Crocodylia; Alligatoridae. The record is from Rfam by way of RNAcentral.
GGCACUGUGGCUUAGUUGGUGAAAGCACCUGUUCAGUAAAUAGGGGAGCCUGGGUUCAAAUCCCAGCAGUGCCU